RNAcentral lists this ribosomal RNA (460 nucleotides) under uncultured bacterium. RNAcentral's name for it is "partial 16S ribosomal RNA". It matches the Rfam family "Bacterial small subunit ribosomal RNA", at positions 338 to 795 of the family's 1533-position model. The record is from RNAcentral.
CCUACGGGAGGCAGCAGUGAGGAAUAUUGGUCAAUGGACGAGAGUCUGAACCAGCCAAGUAGCGUGAAGGAUGACUGCCCUAUGGGUUGUAAACUUCUUUUAUAUGGGAAUAAAAUGUUCCACGUGUGGGAUUUUGUAUGUACCAUAUGAAUAAGGAUCGGCUAACGCCGUGCCAGCAGCCGCGGUAAUACGGAGGAUCCGAGCGUUAUCCGGAUUUAUUGGGUUUAAAGGGAGCGUAGGUGGAUUGUUAAGUCAGUUGUGAAAGUUUGCGGCUCAACCGUAAAAUUGCAGUUGAAACUGGCAGUCUUGAGCACAGUAGAGGUGGGCGGAAUUCGUGGUGUAGCGGUGAAAUGCUUAGAUAUCACGAAGAACUCCGAUUGCGAAGGCAGUUCACUGGACUGCAACUGACACUGAGGCUCGAAAGUGUGGGUAUCAAACAGGAUUAGAUACCCUUGUAGUC